GACGAACGCUGGCGGCGUGCUUAACACAUGCAAGUCGAACGGAAAGGCCCUGCUUUUGUGGGGUGCUCGAGUGGCGAACGGGUGAGUAACACGUGAGUAACCUGCCCUUGACUUUGGGAUAACUUCAGGAAACUGGGGCUAAUACCGGAUAGGAGCUCCUGCUGCAUGGUGGGGGUUGGAAAGUUUCGGCGGUUGGGGAUGGACGCGCGGCUUAUCAGCUUGUUGGUGGGGUAGUGGCUUACCAAGGCUUUGACGGGUAGCCGGCCUGAGAGGGUGACCGGCCACAUUGGGACUGAGAUACGGACCAGACUCCUACGGGAGGCAGCAGUGGGGAAUAUUGCACAAUGGGCGGAAGCCUGAUGCAGCAGCGCCGCGUGCGGGAUGACGGCCUUCGGGUUGUAAACCGCUUUCGCCUGUGACGAAGCGUGAGUGACGGUAAUGGGUAAAGAAGCACCGGCUAACUACGUG
Molecule: ribosomal RNA, 468 nt
Filed under: uncultured bacterium
Lineage: Bacteria
Description: partial 16S ribosomal RNA
Rfam family: Bacterial small subunit ribosomal RNA
Source: RNAcentral